Molecule: ribosomal RNA, 775 nt
Filed under: uncultured Neocallimastigales
Lineage: Eukaryota; Fungi; Neocallimastigomycota; Neocallimastigomycetes; Neocallimastigales
Description: partial large subunit ribosomal RNA
Rfam family: Eukaryotic large subunit ribosomal RNA
Source: RNAcentral
UUCAGACGAUGCGUCAUGCAUAUCAAUAAGCGGAGGAAAAGAAACUAACAAGGAUUCCCCUAGUAACGGCGAGUGAAGCGGGAAGAGCUCAAAUUUGAAAUCUUAAAGGGUUUCCCUUUACGAAUUGUAGUUUAAAGAAGUGUUUUCUGUUGAGGUUUUGGUAAAAGUUCUUUGGAAUAGGACAUCAUAGAGGGUGAGAAUCCCGUAUUUGACCUUUACUUUCAACUUUGUGAUACACUUUCAAAGAGUCGGAUUGUUUGGGAAUGCAGUCCAAAAUGGGUGGUAAAUUUCAUCUAAAGCUAAAUAUUGGCGAGAGACCGAUAGCGAGCAAGUACCGUGAGGGAAAGAUGAAAAGAACUUUGAAAAGAGAGUUAAACAGUACGUGAAAUUGUCAAAAGGGAAGCGUUUGACACCAGUGUUGUUUUUCUGAAAAUCAAUUAAAGAACUGUUUAUGCUAAGCUGUUUAGACUUUAUCAGCUAUCUGUUUAGUUUUGAGCUUUUCUUUAAUGCACUUUUCAGUUAACAAGUCAACAUCAAUUUCUUUUGCUGUAAAAAAGCUUGAGGAAGGUGGCUUGAGAUUCGUCUUAAGUGUUUAUAGCCUCUUGCCUAUGCAGUCGGAGAGAUUGAGGUCUGCAGCGUAGAUCCUUCGGGGCUAAAUGCAUUUGUGCUAAGUUAUAGCAUUUUAUAGACAACUUGUUGACUAUGAUUUGUCUUGUAGCUUACUCGCUUAUGUUAUUUUACCUACGCUUAGGAUGUUGACACACGCGCGUGCUCG